CGGCCACGGUACCCUAACCGUGCGAAGGUAGCAUAAUAACUUGUUCUUUAAAUGCGGACUUGUAUCAACGGCACCACGAGGGCCAUACUGUCUCCUCCACCCAAUCAGUGAAACUAACCUCCCCGUGAAGAGGCGGGGGUUCAACUAUAAGACGAAAAGACCCUAUGGAGCUUUAAACCCAGCAGGCACCUAUCAGUUCAUACCCAUAUUUAUAAACCUGCCCCCUGGUUUUAGGUUGGGGCGACCACGGAGUAGAAAACAACCUCCGCGCCGAAUGGUAGAACCCCUAAUUAAAGAGCCACUCCUCUAAAAAUCAGAAUACUGACGCAACUGACCCGAAAAGAUCAACGAACCAAGUUACCCUAGGGAUAACAGCGCAAUUCAUCUUAAAAGCCCGUAUUGAAAGAUGAGCUUACGACCUCGAUGUUGGAUCAGGGUGUCCAAGUGGUGCAGCCGCUACUAAAGGUUCGUUUGUUCAACGAUUAAAACCCUACGUGA
Molecule: ribosomal RNA, 498 nt
Filed under: Alcalus baluensis (Balu oriental frog)
Lineage: Eukaryota; Metazoa; Chordata; Amphibia; Anura; Ceratobatrachidae
Description: partial large subunit ribosomal RNA
Rfam family: Bacterial large subunit ribosomal RNA
Source: RNAcentral